ACUCGUAGACUCCUACGGGAGGCAGCAGUGGGAAUCUUAGACAAUGGGCGCAAGCCUGAUCUAGCCAUGCCGCGUGAGUGAUGAAGGCCCUAGGGUCGUAAAGCUCUUUCGCCUUGUGAAGAUAAUGACUGUAGCAGGUAAAGAAACCCCCGGCUAACUCCGUGCCAGCAGCCGCGGUAAUACGGAGGGGGUUAGCGUUGUUCGGAAUUACUGGGCGUAAAGCGCGCGUAGGCGGAUUAGUCAGUCAGAGGUGAAAUCCCAGGGCUCAACCCUGGAACUGCCUUUGAUACUGCUAGUCUUGAGUUCGAGAGAGGUGAGUGGAAUUCCGAGUGUAGAGGUGAAAUUCGUAGAUAUUCGGAGGAACACCAGUGGCGAAGGCGGCUCACUGGCUCGAUACUGACGCUGAGGUGCGAAAGUGUGGGGAGCAAACAGGAUUAGAUACCCUGGUAG
This 450-nucleotide ribosomal RNA is filed under the name uncultured bacterium. RNAcentral describes it as "bacterial SSU rRNA". It matches the Rfam family "Bacterial small subunit ribosomal RNA", at positions 327 to 793 of the family's 1533-position model. The record is from RNAcentral.